This 253-nucleotide ribosomal RNA is filed under the name uncultured bacterium. RNAcentral describes it as "partial 16S ribosomal RNA". It matches the Rfam family "Bacterial small subunit ribosomal RNA", at positions 524 to 776 of the family's 1533-position model. The record is from RNAcentral.
UACGCAGGGGGCUAGCGUUGUUCGGAUUUACUGGGCGUAAAGCGCACGUAGGCGGAUUGUUAAGUCGGGGGUGAAAUCCUGGAGCUCAACUUCAGAAUUGCCUUCGAUACUGGCUUUCUAGAGGCUGGAAGAGGUUAGUGGAAUUCCCAGUGUAGAGGUGAAAUUCGUAGAUAUUGGGAAGAACACCAGUGGCGAAGGCGGCUAACUGGUCCAGAUCUGACGCUGAGGUGCGAAAGCGUGGGGAGCAAACAGG